RNAcentral lists this ribosomal RNA (497 nucleotides) under uncultured bacterium. Its description in RNAcentral is "partial 16S ribosomal RNA". It matches the Rfam family "Bacterial small subunit ribosomal RNA", at positions 28 to 507 of the family's 1533-position model. The record is from RNAcentral.
GAUGAACGCUGGCGGCGUGCCUAAUACAUGCAAGUCGAACGCAUAGCGAAAGGUGCUUGCUCCUUUCAAGUGAGUGGCGAACGGGUGAGUAACACGUGGACAACCUGCCUCAAGUCUGGGGAUAACAUUUGGAAACAGAUGCUAAUACCGAAUAAAACUUAGUGUCGCAUGACACAAAGUUAAAAGGCGCUUCGGCGUCACCUAGAGAUGGAUCCGCGGUGCAUUAGUUAGUUGGUAGGGUAAAGGCCUACCAAGACAAUGAUGCAUAGCCGAGUUGAGAGACUGAUCGGCCACAUUGGGACUGAGACACGGCCCAAACUCCUACGGGAGGCUGCAGUAGGGAAUCUUCCACAAUGGGCGAAAGCCUGAUGGAGCAACGCCGCGUGUGUGAUGAAGGCGUUCGGGUCGUAAAGCACUGUUGUAUGGGAAGAACAGCUAGAAUAGAAAAUGAUGUUAGUUUGACGGUACCAGACCAGAAAGGGACGGCUAAAUACGUG